Molecule: unclassified non-coding RNA, 252 nt
Filed under: uncultured Mortierella
Lineage: Eukaryota; Fungi; Mortierellomycota; Mortierellomycetes; Mortierellales; Mortierellaceae
Description: sequence contains ITS2
Source: RNAcentral
AACACCUCAAAGACAUUUCUGAUUUAUUUCUGGAAUGACUUUGGACUUGAGCAAUCCCAACACCAGUCGUUUACGAUCGGCGGAGGGUUGCUUGAAAUGCAGGUGCAGCUGGACAUUCUCCUGAGCUAUAAGCAUAUCUAUUUAGUCCCGUCAAACGGAUUAUUACUUUUGCUGCAGCUAACAUAAAGGGAGUCUGACCGUAUUGGCUGACUGAUGCAGGAUUUCACAGGGGUUGGAAACGACUCUUGUAAA